RNAcentral lists this non-coding RNA (26 nucleotides) under Rattus norvegicus (Norway rat). Lineage: Eukaryota; Metazoa; Chordata; Mammalia; Rodentia; Muridae. The record is from RNAcentral.
UGGUCUCGAUAGUUUUCCAUCAGUCC